Molecule: ribosomal RNA, 431 nt
Filed under: uncultured bacterium
Lineage: Bacteria
Description: partial 16S ribosomal RNA
Rfam family: Bacterial small subunit ribosomal RNA
Source: RNAcentral
AACGAACGCUGGCGGCAGGCCUAACACAUGCAAGUCGAGCGCGCCUUCGGGUGAGCGGCGGACGGGUGAGUAACGCGUGGGAAUAUGCCCUUCUCUACGGAAUAGUCCUGGGAAACUGGGGGUAAUACCAUAUACGCCCUUUGGGGGAAAGAUUUAUCGGGGAAGGAUUAGCCCGCGUUGGAUUAGGUAGUUGGUGGGGUAAUGGCCUACCAAGCCGACGAUCCAUAGCUGGUUUGAGAGGAUGAUCAGCCACACUGGGACUGAGACACGGCCCAGACUCCGACGGGAGGGAGCAGUGGGGAAUCUUAGACGAUGGAGGCAAACCUGAUCUAGCCAUGCGGCGUAAGUGAUGAAGGCCUUAGGGUUGUAAAGCUCUUUCAGCUGGGAAGAUAAUGACGGUACCAGCAGAAGAAGCCCCGGCUAACUCCGUG